Molecule: ribosomal RNA, 253 nt
Filed under: uncultured bacterium
Lineage: Bacteria
Description: partial 16S ribosomal RNA
Rfam family: Bacterial small subunit ribosomal RNA
Source: RNAcentral
UACGGGGGGGGCAAGCGUUGUUCGGAAUUACUGGGCGUAAAGGGCUCGUAGGCGGCCAACUAAGUCAGACGUGAAAUCCCUCGGCUUAACCGGGGAACUGCGUCUGAUACUGGAUGGCUUGAGUUUGGGAGAGGGAUGCGGAAUUCCAGGUGUAGCGGUGAAAUGCGUAGAUAUCUGGAGGAACGCCGGUGGCGAAGGCGGCAUCCUGGACCAACACUGACGCUGAGGCGCGAAAGCGUGGGUAGCAAACAGG